Ribosomal RNA from Danio rerio (zebrafish), 116 nucleotides. The record is from Ensembl. Lineage: Eukaryota; Metazoa; Chordata; Actinopteri; Cypriniformes; Danionidae.
UGCCAUAGCCAUGUCACCCUGCAGUCCAAGACUGUUACUCACUGAAGCUAAGCAGGGCUGAAGUUGGUCAGUACCUAGAUAGGAGACCACGUGGGAAAACUAGGUUGCUACUGGAA